UUCCUUCAGCAGCACCUAUAUUAAAAAAAUUGGAAUAAUUCAGAGAAGAUUAGUAUGGCCCCUGCACAAGGAUGACAUGCAAAUUUGUGAAGCGUUCCAUUUAAAA
Molecule: small nuclear RNA, 106 nt
Organism: Ursus americanus (American black bear)
Lineage: Eukaryota; Metazoa; Chordata; Mammalia; Carnivora; Ursidae
Source: Ensembl